Serendipita vermifera MAFF 305830 is the source of this 82-nucleotide transfer RNA. It matches the Rfam family "tRNA". From Rfam's summary of the family: Transfer RNA (tRNA) molecules are approximately 80 nucleotides in length. Their secondary structure includes four short double-helical elements and three loops (D, anti-codon, and T loops). Further hydrogen bonds mediate the characteristic L-shaped molecular structure. tRNAs have two regions of fundamental functional importance: the anti-codon, which is responsible for specific mRNA codon recognition, and the 3' end, to which the tRNAs corresponding amino acid is attached (by aminoacyl-tRNA synthetases). tRNAs cope with the degeneracy of the genetic code in two manners: having more than one tRNA (with a specific anti-codon) for a particular amino acid; and 'wobble' base-pairing, i.e. permitting non-standard base-pairing at the 3rd anti-codon position. The record is from Rfam. NCBI's taxonomy places the organism in Eukaryota, Fungi, Basidiomycota, Agaricomycetes, Sebacinales, Serendipitaceae.
GGCCAGUUAGCCAAGCGGUUAAGGCGAUUGAUUAGAAAUCAAUUGGGGUUCCCCCGCGUAGGUUCGAAUCCUGCACUGGUCG